GGGGUUGUGGCUCAGCGGUAGAGCGCUCACAUGGUACGUGAGACACCCUGGGUUCAAUCCUCAGAACCACA
Molecule: non-coding RNA, 71 nt
Organism: Ictidomys tridecemlineatus (thirteen-lined ground squirrel)
Lineage: Eukaryota; Metazoa; Chordata; Mammalia; Rodentia; Sciuridae
Source: Rfam